Molecule: ribosomal RNA, 446 nt
Filed under: uncultured bacterium
Lineage: Bacteria
Description: partial 16S ribosomal RNA
Rfam family: Bacterial small subunit ribosomal RNA
Source: RNAcentral
CCUACGGGGGGCAGCAGUCGAGAAUCAUUCACAAUGGGGGAAACCCUGAUGGUGCGACGCCGCGUGGGGGAAUGAAGGUCUUCGGAUUGUAAACCCCUGUCAUGUGGGAGCAAAUUAAAAAGAUAGUACCACACGAGGAAGAGACGGCUAACUCUGUGCCAGCAGCCGCGGUAAUACAGAGGUCUCAAGCGUUGUUCGGAAUCACUGGGCGUAAAGCGUGCGUAGGCUGUUUCGUAAGUCGUGUGUGAAAGGCGCGGGCUCAACCCGCGGACGGCACAUGAUACUGCGAGACUAGAGUAAUGGAGGGGGAACCGGAAUUCUCGGUGUAGCAGUGAAAUGCGUAGAUAUAGAGAGGAACACUCGUGGCGAAGGCGGGUUCCUGGACAUUAACUGACGCUGAGGCACGAAGGCCAGGGGAGCGAAAGGGAUUAGAUACCCGUGUAGUC